RNAcentral lists this ribosomal RNA (923 nucleotides) under Pallisentis celatus. Its description in RNAcentral is "large subunit ribosomal RNA". The stretch from base 588 to 819 matches the Rfam family "Bacterial large subunit ribosomal RNA", at positions 2072 to 2648 of the family's 2925-position model. The record is from RNAcentral. Lineage: Eukaryota; Metazoa; Acanthocephala; Eoacanthocephala; Gyracanthocephala; Quadrigyridae.
AGAGAUUAGUGGGUUAAUUAGUUAAUAAGAUUCCCUUUGGUAUAAGGGGUUUAAGAGGACUGUAUGGACAAAGAGGCCCCAAGGCUUCAGAUUUGAAGGUUUUAUUAGGGUGUGAAUGACUUUAAAAACUUUCAGUAGUGAAAUGUUUUCGUUGAAGUUAUAGGUGGGUUUAUUAGUACACAGGUAAGCUGUGUGGUUUAGAUUAGUGGAGAGGGUUUUAUAAAGCUUUGAAGUGUUUUAGUGUUUAGACUUCAAUUGAGUGUUUGAGAAUUUAAUUAUUGAUUUUUUGUUGUAGGGGUAUUAUCUCUUGAUGAAGGAUUUAAGUACUAGUAGAUUUGUUUAAGGGUUGGAUUAAAGAUUAGUCAAAUCAGAAUUAAAAACCCUGGCGAAUGUUUAUUAAAAACAUUUUUUGAUUUAUUUCAAGUAAGCCCUGCCUUGCGAUUCUUGCGGCCGCAGUAUUAUGACUGUGCUAAGGUAGCAUAAUCAGUUGUGUGUUUAUUGCACUCUUGUAUGAAUGGGUUAACGGUUGGGAAGUUUGGUUGAUUUGGCUGUGUCGAAAUUCUAGUGGUGGUGAAAAUACCAUCUGGGUUUUAAGACGGAAAGACCCCAAGAAGCUUGACAAGAAAUUGUUUAGUUGGGGUAAUUUUUGAAAAUUAGUGUUUCAAGGGUGUAGUUACUCUGGGGAUAACAGGGCAAUCUCCAAGAUGUGGGGGUUUGCUACCUCGAUGUUGGAUCAUCCUUUUUUGUCUGUUCGACAAAUUUGAGGGUACGUGAUUUGAGUUUAGAUCGGUGUGAGCCAGAUCGGUUCUUAUCUAAUAUUAAUGCUUGCUUAGUACGAAAGGAUAGGGGGGUUGAAAUAAUUUCAUUGCUAAUGUGGCAGAGUCAUGUGUUGGGUUUAGGGUCCAAAAAGAGAUUUAGUUGUG